UGGACCUAAGCUAAGGCCUGUACCAGCCGCAU
This 32-nucleotide non-coding RNA is filed under the name Rattus norvegicus (Norway rat). The record is from RNAcentral. Lineage: Eukaryota; Metazoa; Chordata; Mammalia; Rodentia; Muridae.